Molecule: ribosomal RNA, 459 nt
Filed under: uncultured bacterium
Lineage: Bacteria
Description: partial 16S ribosomal RNA
Rfam family: Bacterial small subunit ribosomal RNA
Source: RNAcentral
CCUACGGGAGUCUGCAGUGAGGAAUAUUGGUCAAUGGGCGCGAGCCUGCACCAGCCAAGUCGCGUGAGGGAUGAAGGUUCUAUGGAUCGUAAACCUCUUUUAUAAGGGAAUCAAGUGUGGGACGUGUCCUAUUUUGUAUGUACCUUAUGAAUAAGGAUCGGCUAACUCCGUUCUAGCAGCCGCGGUAAUACGGAGGAUGCGAGCGUUAUCCGGAUUUAUUGGGUUUAAAGGGUGCGUAGGCGGAAUAUCAAGUCCGCGGUAAAAAUUCGGGGCUCAACCCCGUCGUGCCGUUGAAACUGAUGUUAUGGAGGGGGCGUGAAGUAUGCGGAAUGCGUGGUGUAGCGGUGAAAUGCAUAGAUAUCACGCAGAACUCCGAUUGCGAAGGCAGCAUACCGGCGCCCAACUGACGCUGAAGCACGAAAGCGUGGGUAUCGAACAGGAUUAGAUACCCGGGUAGUC